Molecule: long non-coding RNA, 383 nt
Organism: Lontra canadensis (Northern American river otter)
Lineage: Eukaryota; Metazoa; Chordata; Mammalia; Carnivora; Mustelidae
Exons: 2
Source: RefSeq, a predicted model, not a curated record
CCGCAGCUCAGCUCUGGAAGGCACAUGAGCAGGACUGGGGCUUGUGAUUGCUCAAGCAGGGACAUGCCCCUUAAACUAAUGAAAACCCUCUCCAGUAUGUAGGGUCAGAGAAUUGUAUCCAAUUUGGGCUGGACUUUACCUGAGGUGUCCGAGUUCCCUAGGUUCUCCUCCAUAAGCCGCACACUUCUUUUCUGAAGCCCAUCUACAUGGGGUGUGGUUUUUCAGAGUCAGGACACACAACUCUGCCUUUGCGGUGGUACUUGCUUUGGGUUUUCCUUCAGUAUCUUGUAUAUCAUAUUCGUUGCUACAGAUGCAUUUUGUUUACUUGUUUGUUUGUUUGUAUUUUCUCUCAGAAGCACAUUAUAGAGAAUGCUGGCUCCUUG